UAUUUUUUAAUAUUAUUUUAAACUAUUCUAAUUUCAAUAACAAAAGCUAUACAACACUGGAAAUAGCACCCGGAUCAAAAUUUAUCUACAGUAGCACUUCAGGAUUUAUACGGAUUAUUUGCAAAAUAACAAACAUUAAAUAAUAAUAUUGUAAUCAGUGGAUUUUAUUGUGCCUCAAGUAAUUCAACGAGAAACCUGACAUUUCCGUGUUAAAAGAAAACCGAUAAAAUAUUGAGAGUUUAUCUACCCAUGCUGGGAUUGCCGUGAUACAAAGAUGAUGACUAUUGCAAUAAAACGUGACUUGCUUUUCAAAACAUUGGGUAAAACAUAUUACAAACAUCACGCUCUGACUGAGUGUCAAUGAAGCGAAUAGAGAAGGGGUGUGUUUGUUUGAAGACAAUGAAAAAGCAAAUGAUAGCAAGAGUAGGGUUUUGACCAAGGUAUAGAUGCGUCCGAAGAAAUUAUCUACAUCUAAGAUUGGCACACCUGCCAACAGAUAUUGUCUGUUGUGCUUGGAGCCUAAGUACAGGACUACUUAUAUUUUUGAAUAAAACAUACAAAAGAACUGCAAUUGGUAAUAAAAAGCGAAACACAUAAUGCAAAUUACACAAGAACUGCGUAAAGGAUGUGUGCCAGGAUUCUUUAAAUUUCACUUUUUAAAUGUUCCUCCACUUAUGGUUGAAUGCCUAUAUAUAACGUCUUUUUUCUAAACAGGAUGUUCAUCCCACAUUAUAUGGCAAUAAAACCAAAGGAAUGGAAAAGAUUAUAAUGACUUCAAGAAUUCUUAAAAAUAAGUGGACAUUUGGUUGUUUCCAUUUUGAGAGACGUUACUUUGACGCAAGAUUCUUACAAUAGUUUUAUUAAUCGUCAAGAAAAGUUGCAUCAAAAUAUAGGAAGAAGACAUAGUCUGGUCUCUAUUGGCACUCAUGAUUUGGAUGCAAUUAAAGGUCCAUUUCUAUAUGAUGACACCAUCAAAAAUACAGUUCAAACCACUUAAUCGAGAUAAGCAGUUUUCACUAAACAAGUUGACUGACUUGAUUGGAAUAGAAAUGGCCCAGGCAGGACUUUCUCUUUGUGCUCACGUGAGAAUGUAGCGGACAAAUUGGGAUACGAAAUAGAAGAUGUACCGGCAGUUCACAUAUCCAAUCCAAAAACUUUGGAGUUUCAAAUAAAUCGACCGAUACCGCGCGCUCUUAUUAAAACCUCGGAAACAAGAGUAGUUCUAUUCUUGAUUUCUUCUUUUUAUUUGAACGAUACAUGUGUGUAAUAGAACGUAAACAGAUAUCGUUAUGCGGACGUUUAAAUAAAAAAAAAAUUUGCAAAGAA
RNAcentral lists this long non-coding RNA (1326 nucleotides) under Monomorium pharaonis (pharaoh ant). Its description in RNAcentral is "uncharacterized LOC118646333, transcript variant X2". The record is from RNAcentral. Lineage: Eukaryota; Metazoa; Arthropoda; Insecta; Hymenoptera; Formicidae.